GAUGAACGCUGGCGGCGUGCUUAACACAUGCAAGUCGAACGGAAAGGCUCCUGCUUGCAGGGGUACUCGAGUGGCGAACGGGUGAGUAACACGUGGGUGAUCUGCCCUGCACUUCGAGAUAAGCCUGGGAAACUGGGUCUAAUACCGGAUAGGACGAUGGUUUGGAUGCCAUUGUGGAAAGUUUUUCGGUGUGGGAUGAGCUCGCGGCCUAUCAGCUUGUUGGUGGGGUAAUGGCCUACCAAGGCGUCGACGGGUAGCCGGCCUGAGAGGGUGUACGGCCACAUUGGGACUGAGAUACGGCCCAGACUCCUACGGGAGGCAGCAGUGGGGAAUAUUGCACAAUGGGCGCAAGCCUGAUGCAGCGACGCCGCGUGGGGGAUGACGGCCUUCGGGUUGUAAACUCCUUUCGCUAGGGACGAAGCGCAAGUGACGGUACCUGGAGAAGAAGCACCGGCUAACUACGUG
This 465-nucleotide ribosomal RNA is filed under the name uncultured bacterium. Its description in RNAcentral is "partial 16S ribosomal RNA". It matches the Rfam family "Bacterial small subunit ribosomal RNA", at positions 28 to 507 of the family's 1533-position model. The record is from RNAcentral.